This 343-nucleotide ribosomal RNA is filed under the name uncultured fungus. RNAcentral's name for it is "SSU rRNA". It matches the Rfam family "Eukaryotic small subunit ribosomal RNA", at positions 292 to 636 of the family's 1831-position model. The record is from RNAcentral. Lineage: Eukaryota; Fungi.
GGUUCAUUCAAAUUUCUGCCUAUCAACUUUCGACGGCUGGGUCUUGGCCAGCCAUGGUGACAACGGGUAACGGAGGGUUAGGGCUCGACCCCGGAGAAGGAGCCUGAGAAACGGCUACUACAUCCAAGGAAGGCAGCAGGCGCGCAAAUUACCCAAUCCCGACCGGGGAGGUAGUGACAAUAAAUACUGAUACAGGGCUCUUUUGGGUCUUGUAAUUGGAAUGAGUACAAUUUAAACCUCUUAACGAGGAACAAUUGGAGGGCAAGUCUGGUGCCAGCAGCCGCGGUAAUUCCAGCUCCAAUAGCGUAUAUUAAAGUUGUUGCAGUUAAAAAGCUCGUAGUUG